UACAGAGGUCCCAAGCGUUGUUCGGAUUCACUGGGCGUAAAGGGUGCGUAGGUGGCGGGGUAAGUUCGAUGUGAAAUACCCGGGCUCAACCCGGGAAUGGCAUGGAAUACUAUCUCGCUCGAGGAUCGGAGGGGAGACUGGAAUUCUCGGUGUAGCAGUGAAAUGCGUAGAUAUCGAGAGGAACACCAGUGGCGAAGGCGAGUCUCUGGACGAUUCUUGACACUGAGGCACGAAAGCUAGGGGAGCAAACAGG
Molecule: ribosomal RNA, 253 nt
Filed under: uncultured bacterium
Lineage: Bacteria
Description: partial 16S ribosomal RNA
Rfam family: Bacterial small subunit ribosomal RNA
Source: RNAcentral